RNAcentral lists this long non-coding RNA (1436 nucleotides) under Nicotiana benthamiana. RNAcentral's name for it is "long non-coding RNA (NBEN_LNC025391)". The record is from RNAcentral. Lineage: Eukaryota; Viridiplantae; Streptophyta; Magnoliopsida; Solanales; Solanaceae.
UCAAUGUUCCGUUCACGUCGGUUUGUCAUUUAUCAAAACCUACAAAUAUGAACACUCGUUUAAUUUAGCGACUUGAGAACGUGUUUCAACACAAAUUGAUCUAAAAUUUUCAAAAGUGCAAUUGUCAAUGAGGAUUCUUUUGCGCAGGAGAGUUCGAUAAAAAAAUAAGAAUAGUUUUGCAACCUGUAAAUCAAAUUAGAGUAGGGCAACUUGAUAGUUUCCAUUGUUAGGUUUUAAAUAUUCCUAAAUUAUAUGCUUUUUUAACAGAAAUUAAUUUGUCUAUGAUUUUUCAACUUAAUUUAAAAUUAAUACUCAAGGGCAGAAAACCUCACCUCAUAAAUUCAUUAGUAUUGUCAUAUAUAAUAAUUAAAAGAAAAGCAUCCUCUUUCACGAAGUAACAUUUUACAACUUAAACAAUGUUAAUAACAGUAAUUACUUUUCACUUACCAGACAAUGAACAAUAUUCACACAAAGCUGCUGUUGAUUUUUAAUCCCAAAUCUACAAAUACUGUCAAUUUUUGGAUUUUGUACCUAUAGUGUACUAACAAUAAUUAGUAAUAUAUUGCAGGUUAAUCAUGCACUAGUUGAAGAGAUACAUAAUAUCAAUCGGCAGAUUAUGGACACUGUUCAAGAAAUUGGUGACGAAGGUGUUGAUCCAAGUGCAGUUGCUGCUGCUGCAAUAGAGGGUGGUGAAAGCACUACUGUAAAGUGUGUCUUAAAAAAUUAAUUUUAACCCCAAAUUUCAAGCUACUAAGAACGAGAAAACAAGGAAAAAUUUUUAGUCAUACCUAACAAAAGCAUACAUAUAUUUAGAAACCAAAAUACUUUCAGUCACACACUCAAAUCGUAGUAAAAAUGAAACAUGCAAGACAAAAGAAAGACCUUUAAGCAAAUAUAACAAUAUAUGUGGGAAGAAAUUACUCUGACUGAAGCAAAUGACAAUACAUCGGAAAAAUUACACAAAAUCAGAGAAUGAGUAAAAGGAGUGGGGAAAAUGAGGGAAUCGAAAAACAUUAUAAGUUUAAAUAUGAUAAUUCCAAUCUAGAAUGCAUAUAUCCAUGGCUACUACAUUCUUCAAAUAAGAGAAAUUACCUGAAUAAAAUUAAAAACAAAACCAAUAGAACAGAUUACUUGAACAAUGGUAAAUAAUAUUAGCAGUGAUUGAAGUUCCACUGCUAACUUUUUGAGACGUGGGAAAAGGUUUGGGGGAAAAAUGGCUCUUUUAUUUUUCUUCAUAUUGGGGGAGUGAGAAAGAAAGAAUGGAGAAAGGGUUUGGGAAAAAAAUGAGGGAAACUAGAAAAAUAACGUGGAAAAUUUUUAGCGCUCUUUAUUUUUGUUCCGGGUCAUGACCACCGCAAUUAAAAGAGGAAAAGAAUAGAAAAAGGGGUUGGGGAAAAAAUCAGGAAAACUAGAAAAAUACGUGGGAAAUUAUUAGG